This 253-nucleotide ribosomal RNA is filed under the name uncultured bacterium. RNAcentral describes it as "partial 16S ribosomal RNA". It matches the Rfam family "Bacterial small subunit ribosomal RNA", at positions 524 to 776 of the family's 1533-position model. The record is from RNAcentral.
UACGUAGGUGACAAGCGUUAUCCGGAUUUAUUGGGCGUAAAGCGCACGCAGGCGGCUGAUUAAGUCUGACGUGAAAUCUCUCGGCUUAACCGGGGAACUGCGUCCGAUACUGGAUGGCUUGAGUUCGGGAGAGGGAUGCGGAAUUCCAGGUGUAGCGGUGAAAUGCGUAGAUAUCGAGAGGAACACCUGCGGCGAAGGCGGGUUGCUGGGCUGAUACUGACGCUGAGGCGCGAAAGCCAGGGGAGCGAACGGG